Molecule: ribosomal RNA, 253 nt
Filed under: uncultured bacterium
Lineage: Bacteria
Description: partial 16S ribosomal RNA
Rfam family: Bacterial small subunit ribosomal RNA
Source: RNAcentral
GACAGAGGAUGCAAGCGUUAUCCGGAAUGAUUGGGCGUAAAGCGUCUGUAGGUGGCUUUUUAAGUCUGCCGUCAAAUCCCAGGGCUUAACCCUGGACAGGCGGUGGAAACUGCCAAGCUGGAGUACGGUAGGGGCAGAGGGAAUUUCCGGUGGAGCGGUGAAAUGCGUAGAGAUCGGAAAGAACACCAACGGCGAAAGCACUCUGCUGGGCCGACACUGACACUGAGGAGCGAAAGCAUGGGGAGCGAACAGG